AGGUUGUGAUGAGGGCAUUUUUUUAACAAGUCAUUAAAUCUCUCCCAUACUUUAAACAGUGAUUCAGUAUUCAACUGUGCAUAAGCUGUAAUAUUCUGGCGCAACAU
Dioscorea cayenensis subsp. rotundata (Guinea yam) is the source of this 107-nucleotide small nucleolar RNA. NCBI's taxonomy places the organism in Eukaryota, Viridiplantae, Streptophyta, Magnoliopsida, Dioscoreales, Dioscoreaceae. The record is from RefSeq and is a predicted model, not a curated record.